ACCACGUUGAUAGGCUGGAUGUGUAAGUGCGGUAACGUAUUGAGCUAACCAGUACUAAUUACUCGAUAGAUUUAGUCGU
This 79-nucleotide ribosomal RNA is filed under the name Opitutia bacterium. RNAcentral describes it as "partial 23S ribosomal RNA". It matches the Rfam family "Bacterial large subunit ribosomal RNA", at positions 2847 to 2925 of the family's 2925-position model. Lineage: Bacteria; Pseudomonadati; Verrucomicrobiota; Opitutia. The record is from RNAcentral.